UAGGGAAUCUUCGGCAAUGGGGGCAACCCUGACCGAGCAACGCCGCGUGAGUGAAGAAGGUUUUCGGAUCGUAAAGCUCUGUUGUAAGAGAAGAACGUGUGUGAGAGUGGAAAGUUCACACAGUGACGGUAACUUAGCAGAAAGGGACGGCUAACUACGUGCCAGCAGCCGCGGUAAUACGUAGGUCCCGAGCGUUGUCCGGAUUUAUUGGGCGUAAAGCGAGCGCAGGCGGUUUAAUAAGUCUGAAGUUAAAGGCAGUGGCUUAACCAUUGUUCGCUUUGGAAACUGGUAAACUUGAGUGCAGAAGGGGAGAGUGGAAUUCCAUGUGUAGCGGUGAAAUGCGUAGAUAUAUGGAGGAACACCGGUGGCGAAAGCGGCUUUCUGGGCUGUAACUGACGCUGAGGCUCGAAAGCGUGGGGAGCAAACAGG
Molecule: ribosomal RNA, 429 nt
Filed under: bacterium
Lineage: Bacteria
Description: partial 16S ribosomal RNA
Rfam family: Bacterial small subunit ribosomal RNA
Source: RNAcentral